AACAUGUCCUUUUGUUAUUUAUAUAAGGUCUAGCCUGCCCAAUGAAUUAUUCAAUGGCCGCGGUAUUUUAACCGUGCUAAGGUAGCGUAAUCAUUUGUCUUUUAAUUAAGGGCUGGAAUGAAAGGUUGGACGAGGUAUUAGCUUUCUUUAAUUCAAUUAAUUGAAUUUAAUUUUUAAGUUAAAAAGCUUAAAUUUAUUUGUUGGACGAGAAGACCCUAUAGAUCUUUACAUUUAUAAUUAUUGUAAUAUUUAGGGAUUAAUUCUUUAUAAUUAUUAAAGAUGUUUGGUUGGGGUGACUAUAGAAUAAUAAUAACUUCUUUAUAUUUUUAUCGUUGAUUUUCGUUUGUGUGAUCCAUUAUUAGUGAUUAAAAGAUUAAGUUACCUUAGGGAUAACAGCGUAAUUUUUUCGGAGAGUUCAUAUCGAUGAAGGAGUUUGCGACCUCGAUGUUGGAUUAAAAUAAGUUCUGAGUGCAGCAGUUCAGGGGCUGGGUCUGUUCGACCUUUAAUUUUUUACAUGAUCU
RNAcentral lists this ribosomal RNA (521 nucleotides) under Stenopodainae sp. 00052212. RNAcentral's name for it is "partial 16S ribosomal RNA". It matches the Rfam family "Bacterial large subunit ribosomal RNA", at positions 1812 to 2606 of the family's 2925-position model. The record is from RNAcentral. Lineage: Eukaryota; Metazoa; Arthropoda; Insecta; Hemiptera; Reduviidae.